This 432-nucleotide unclassified non-coding RNA is filed under the name soil metagenome. RNAcentral describes it as "partial contains 5.8S ribosomal RNA, internal transcribed spacer 2, and large subunit ribosomal RNA". The stretch from base 1 to 120 matches the Rfam family "5.8S ribosomal RNA", at positions 35 to 154 of the family's 154-position model. The record is from RNAcentral.
GAUGAAGAACGCAGCGAAAUGCGAUACGUAAUGUGAAUUGCAGAAUUCAGUGAAUCAUCGAAUCUUUGAACGCAUAUUGCGCUCUCUGGUAUUCCGGAGAGCAUGCUUGUUUGAGUAUCAGUAAACACCUCAACUUCCAUAUCUUUUUUGAAAUGGGAGUUGGACUUGAGUGAUCCCAACGCUUUUCCUCACCGAAAAGUGGCGGGUUACUUGAAAUGCAGGUGCAGCUGGACUUUGCUCUGGGCUAUAAGCAUAUCUAUUUAGUCUGCCUAAAAACAGAUUAUUACCUUUGCUGCAGCUAACAUAAAGGAGAUUAGUUCUUGUGCUGACUGAUGCAGGAUUCACAAAGACAGGCUUCGGCCGACUUUGUAAACUCGAUCUCAAAUCAAGUAAGACUACCCGCUGAACUUAAGCAUAUCAAUAAGCGGAGGA